Molecule: long non-coding RNA, 3901 nt
Filed under: Hordeum vulgare
Lineage: Eukaryota; Viridiplantae; Streptophyta; Magnoliopsida; Poales; Poaceae
Description: long non-coding RNA (HVUL_LNC018130)
Source: RNAcentral
ACGGAGAACAGAUAAGGGCUAACCGUAGAGAUGCGGCAACGAUCCCUGCGAUGGCGGGAUCGAUCGCGGUUUCCCCUCGGCUUUCUCCUACCUCGUGCUAGGAGCCAUUCAUCCAGCGUGACCUUCUCUCUGCACUUAGGCAUGCCUGCUCCCACCCCCCCUUUUGUGGCUACAAUAGGGAUGGUUUUCUGCCCUGCUACAAUUUUAGUUUUUUCUUUUCAUUGAUUGGUUGGUUGAUUGAUAAAAUGUCCGUGCGGUGUCUGGUUUAGUGUGGAGAAAUCUUCACAAAAAUACAUAUGUAUUGUAUUCUUUGAUGUUGCUAUUUCAUGCCCUCUAACUGUUUGUUAGUAUGCCUACAAGAACUAAGCAUCUUUUUUAUGUUUCUAUUCUAUAUCUUGAUCCAGUUAGGACUUUUUUGUGUGUACAGGACAACCCCAAUGAUCAUUCACCCAUUCCAUGUGUCGUGCUUAUCUUGAAAAACGGAUGUGCCAUAUAACUAAGUUGCUGGAGUGUACAAAUAUGGCAUGGUUGCCACUUCGGCAGAUUGUUCACUAGGUAUUGGAUUGAGAAGGUACGGGCUAGAUGAAAAUAUACAUUGCAUUAUUUGUUACUCAUUUUAUAAAACUAUUUAAUUUAUUCCAUUUAGAUGAAGGUAGCUUCAGCUUAUAGACAACCUUUUCUGAACAAAUAACAGAUGGUCUGAUUUGCUCUACUUCUCCAGGUUUCCUUGUGCUACUUGCAGUUUUUAUUCUCUGUGAUGAUGAUUAGCAUUCGGUCCAUAACUAAAUAAUCUCUAUUUAAUUAUGCUAACAUGUCACAAUUUCAUUCCUCUCUCCACUCAUUCUUUAGCGCCUUGAGGCCACUAGCGUUGCUUGCUAAGGAGAAACAUGCCUUUGGAUAAAAUUAUUUAAAAUUUACCAUGUUCUUCUAGGUUAAUUUUAAAACAUUUUUCAUGUAUUUCCACUUCUAAAGGGUGUUGCUAGUUUUUCUAUUUGAGUACUGGUUUGUUGCAGGGCAAAGCAUUUCAAAAGAAGCGUCAACCAUUGACUAGCAAUUUUGAUGCACCGAUUACCCUAAGAAGGCAAGCUAUUGAUCAUGUAGUUCAAAGAAAAAAUUGAGUCAAUUUUUAAAAGCUUCUUAUCACAGUUGUUUCACAUGUUUCCUAGCAUGAUGGAAGAUGAUAUGGUGAAUAACAUGAAUUACCUUGUGCUCGAUGAUGACCCACAAGUAUAGGGGAUCGAUCGUAGUCCUUUCGGUAAGUAAGAGUGUCGAACCCAACGAGGAGCAGAAGGCUCUGAUAAACGGAUUUCAGCAAGGUAAUAACUGCAAGCAUUGAAAGUAGCGGUAACAAGUGAUUGUGUAGCGAGGUGAAACGUAGCGAAUAAAAAGUAACAAGUAACAAGUAGUAGCAACGGUGCAGCAAGUGGCACAAUCCCUUUUGUAGCAAGGAACAAGUCUGAACAAAGUCUUAUAGGAGAAAAAACGCUUCGAGGACACACGGGAAUUUCUGUCAUGCUAGUUUCAUCAUGUUCAUAUGAUUCGCGUUCGUUAUUUUGAUAGUUUGAUAUGUGGGUGGACCGGCGCUUGGGUACUGUCCUUACUUGGACAAGCAUCCCACUUAUGAUUAACCUAUCUCGCAAGCAUCCGCAACUACAAAAGAAGAAUUAAGGCAAAGUCUAACCAUAUCAUUAAACUAGUGAAUUCAAAUCAGCCCCUUACGAAGCAACGCAUAGACUGGGGUUUAAGCUUCUGUCACUCCAGCAACCCAUCAUCUACUUACUACUUUCCAAUGCCUUCCUCUAGGCCCAAAUAUGGUGAAGUGUUAUAUAGUCGACGUACGUAACACCACUAGAGGAAAAACAACAUACAUCGUAUCAAAAUACCGAACGAAUAUCAAAUUCACAUGACUAUUAUCAGCAUGACUUAUCCCAUGUCCUCAGGAACAAAAGUAACUACUCACAAAACAUAAUCAUAAUCAUGAUCAGAGGUGUAAUGAAUAGCAUCAAGAAUCUGAACAUAAACUCUUUCAUCAAGUAAUCCAACUAGCAUCAACUACAAAGAGUAAUCAACACUACUAGCAACCUUACAAGUAUCAAUCGGAGUUGCGAGACGAAGAUUGGUUACAAGAGAUGAACUAGGGAUUGGAGAGGAGAUGGUGCUGAUGAAGAUGUUGAUGAAGAUGCCUCCCCUCCGACGAGAAGGGUGUUGGUGAUGACGAUGGCGACGAUUUCCCCCUCCGGGAGGGAAGUUUUCCCGGCUGGAUCGUCCUAUCGGAGCUCUAAAUUGGAUCUGUUCAAGUUCCGUCUCGUGGCGGCGGCGAAAUCACGAAAAAGCUCCCGUCUGAUUUUUUAUGGACCAAGACGCUUCAUAUAGCAAAAGAGGGGGCUAGUGGGCCGUCAGGGAGCCCACAAGCCCCUACUCCGUCACCAGGGGGUGGUGGUGUCAUGGCUUGUGGCGCCCUGGCAGCCCCCCUCUGGUAGUUCCCUCGUCCAGUAUUUUUUAUAUAAUCUCAAAAAAUUCCACGUAACUUUUCAGGGCAUUUGGAGAUGUGCAGAAUAGUGGACUAGGAUUUGCUUCUUUUCCAGUCCAGAAUUUCAACUGCCUGAAUUUCCCUCUUCAAAUAAACCUUGCAAAAUAAAAGAGAAAAGACAUAAAUAUGGUACCACAAGUAAUAUAACAGCCCCCAAAAAAAUAUCAACAUGAAAGCAUGAUGUAAAAUGAACGUAUCAACUCCCUCAAGCUUAGACCUCGCUUGUCCUCAAGCGAAAACCAAGUUUCAUAAACAUGUCCACAUGUUGAGGGACGAAGGUGUCGAUAAAACAUAAUACAUACAUGAGGGCAUCAUGAUCACACAUAGGACAACAAUACAUCAUAAAGAUUCUUAUGGGAAAGUAACAAUUCCUUCACAAAGCAAAGCAUGAAGCAAAAACCUUAUCGAGAAGUAACCAACAGUAGUCCAUAGUCAUUGAAGCAAUUGCAAUUUAUCACAACAUCACAAAGAGUCAAAUAAGAGCUUUUAAGGCAAACCCACAUACUCAAUCAUCUCUUUUUUUCACAAUUGUUACAACUCACGUGGUACUCAUGGUGUCGAAGUUUCAGCUGGACACAGAGGAAGAUAGGGGCUUAUAGUUUUGCCUUCCAACCAUUUACCUUAAAGGUAAAGUCAACAACAAUAAAGCAUAAGUACUCAACUCCAAGUUGAUAUAUGAAUAUAGAUCUUUUCCAAGCAUAUGACGGUAGCCAAGACAAAUGCAAAAAUAGAGAAUUGAUGAUGAUCAUCAUGACUCUUACAAGGGCAAAAAGUAAAGGUACAAGAUAGGCCCUUCGCAGAGGGAAGCAGAGGUUGUCAUGCGCUUUUGAGGUUUGAAUGCGUGUCCUCUUAGUGCGGAGGAACGUCACUUUAUAUUGCCUCCUGUGAUAAAGAACUUUAUUAUGCAGUCUGUCGCUUUUAUGUCUUCCUCAUCACAGAUUCGUACAAAGUUUAUUUUCCACACACUAAUAGAUCAUACAAAUUAGAGAGCAAUUUUUAUUGCUUGCACCGAUGACAACUUACUUGAAGGAUCUUAUUCAAUCCAUAGGUAGGUAUGAUGGACUCUCAUGGCAAAACUGGGUUGGAGGUUUAUGGAUGCACAAGUAGUAUCUCUACUUGGUACAGGAGUUUUGGCUAAUAUGAGGUGGAAGCAAUCGUCACAUGCUAAGGGAUCUCUAAUCAUAUAACAUUGUUUGAAAUCAAGCAAACACAAUUCAUUAUGUUGUCUUUCUUGUCCAACAUCUAUUCCUAAGCAUGUAAUAGUUUGGUGAGUGCUCACAAUUGUAAAAAGUGUCUAAGAUGAUAUAUUUAUAUAUGAACCUCUCUUUCCUUAUUACUUCUUAUUAAUUGCAACAAUGACUGAGGUCUAUG